UGGGACCGUCAUAUCCACAUGGAGUCGAAGGAGUGCCACAACUGCCAAAGUGAAACAGAAACCAGGCCACAGGAUAAUGUCUUCUGGUUUUCUUUUUGAACCUUAGCAGAAACAAACUUGGUCUAUGAAAAUGGAGAGUUGUUCCCUGCAAUCAUCUACUAUACCCACCAUACUCACUUCUCUAACCAAAACUGGCUUCCUUGACAAAGCUUCUGUACAUGGUCAGCUCCUCAGAUUCCCCAGUUUCAAUAAGUAUCCACAUGCCAGAAAGCUUAAAACUUUGGACGUCAAAGCUCAAGCCUCAGGUAUUACCAAAUUCAGCUCAGGGGCAGUUGAGGCCAUUCCAAAGGAAACAGAUAUUAAAGAUGAUAAUCUUGUAUUUGUUGCUGGUGCAACUGGUAGAGUCGGGUCACGGACAGUGAGGGAGCUUCUCAAACUUGGUUUCCAAGUUAGAGCUGGAGUCAGAAGUGCUGAGAAAGCACAAACUCUUGUGCAGAGUGUUAAGCAAAUGAAACUUGAUGGUGAAGGAGCUCAGCCUGUAGAGAAGCUUGAAGUGGUAGAAUGUGAUUUAGAGAAAAAAAAUCAGAUUGGAUCAGCAUUGGGCAAUGCAUCUAUUGUUAUAUGCUGCAUUGGAGCUGGUGAGAAAGAGGUCUUUGACAUUACAGGACCUUAUCGAAUUGAUUAUCAGGCUGCCAAAAGCCUCAUUAAUGCAGCAACUGCUGCAAAAGUUAAACAUUUUAUUAUGGUUUCGUCAUUGGGAACAAACAAAGUUGGAUUUCCUGCAGCUAUUCUGAAUUUGUUUUGGGGUGUCUUGAUUUGGAAGAGAAAAGCAGAAGAAGUACUCAUAGCCAGUGGUAUUCCUUACACUAUUGUGAGACCUGGAGGAAUGGAGCGACCCACUGACGCAUACAAAGAAACACAUAAUAUUACCUUAUCAGAGGAAGACACUUUAUUUGGUGGCCAAGUGUCAAAUCUUCAGGUGGCUGAACUCAUGGCAGUUAUGGCUAAAAACCGUGGGCUUUCCUACUGUAAAGUGGUGGAAGUAAUUGCUGAGACAACUGCACCCCUGACUUCAAUGGAUAAGCUUCUUGAAAAAAUACCAUCUCAACGUGUUGAACCAAAGGAACUGGAUGCAGCUGAGGGGCCUGCUACUGUGGCUCCUAAGGAGGUGGCAAUUGAAGCUCCAAGUCCAAGUUCUCUUUCUCCCAUUGAGAAGGGACCUCAACAAGCAACUGUGACAAGGCCACUGUCUCCUUAUUAUGCUUAUGAUGAUUUAAAACCACCCACUUCCCCUACUCCAACUCCACCUGGUGGUCAGAAAGAAAGAUAUGAUGAUCUCAAACCACCAACUUCCCCAUCUCCUACUGCACCAGGGGAAUCACUCCCAACAUCUUCCUUGAAUGGAGGGUCUAAGGUGGUCAACAAUGCACCUCCAACAGCAUCAAAAGAUGAACAGCAAAAUACAGAAGCAAAGCCAAGGCCACUUUCACCUUAUGCCAUGUAAGCUUGAUGUCUUAGGUGUUUUUUUCGUUUUCCAUUGAAUUUUCUGGAAGGUUAGCCAUUUCAUAAUUGCAGAAAUAAAAAGCACUACUGACUUAGAUUGCCCAAUCCAGCAUAUUCAAGGACAAAACUCUCCUAACACUUGAUGGUUUCAUUUUAAAACCUGGCCAACCUAUAUGAUAUUGUUUCAGAUAGUUUGUAGUACCCCAUAAGGCCAUGGGCCAUACCCUUUUGUAUGCCAUGAGAAGAUCAAAAUUACAGUUUCUGAGGUCUUUCUCUAUUUCUUUUCAUAACAAGGUAUGAAGACAUGAAACCUCCAACUUCUCCAUCGCCAUCACCAAGGACAUAGAAUUGAAACGACUGCACAACCAGAGGAACAAAAAGAGCGAAAAAAGAAACAUUUCAAAGUAGUGUCAAUCUUGACAUUGUCAUUGUGCCAGGGAAUCCAUUCAACACCUAUCCUUGUAACUUAUGAAGAGGCUGGCAACUUGACUUGCGGCUGUCAGUUAUACGAAUAUUUUUGUAAUUGGAUUCAUUUGUUUUUGCUCAUUUAUAAUAUAGGGGGUGUAUGACUUUGAGAUCAACUUUGAAUAACUCAGGCUUGACUUGUCAUUUUUUAAAAGGUUUGAAUUUAAUUUGAAUUUUAAUAUUAUAGCUCAAGCUUAGCUCAUUGUUUGAGCUUGACUUGAAGUUAACUCAUUUCAAACA
RNAcentral lists this unclassified non-coding RNA (2208 nucleotides) under Hevea brasiliensis (rubber tree). Lineage: Eukaryota; Viridiplantae; Streptophyta; Magnoliopsida; Malpighiales; Euphorbiaceae. The record is from RNAcentral.